Non-coding RNA from Macrolepiota fuliginosa MF-IS2, 98 nucleotides. The record is from the annotation of a GenBank genome assembly. Lineage: Eukaryota; Fungi; Basidiomycota; Agaricomycetes; Agaricales; Agaricaceae.
CCGAUCUUAGCUCAGUUGGAAGAGCGCGAGACUGUAAUUGGUUACCCACAACUCAAAAUCAUAUCUCGAGGCCACUUGUUCGAACCAGGUAGAUCGGA